AGAGUUUGAUCCUGGCUCAGGACUAACGCUGGCGGCGUGCCUAACACAUGCAAGUCGAACGAGGUAGCAAUACCUAGUGGCAGACGGGUGAGUAACGCGUAGAUAAUGUGCCCUCUUGCGGGGGAUACCGUUUCGAAAGGAACGUUAAUACCGCAUAACACGGUUUCGGGGCCUCUCGAGACCGUCAAACUUCUGGGGCGAGAGGAGCAGUCUGCGUUCUAUCAGCUAGUUGGUGAGGUAAUGGCUCACCAAGGCUACGACGGAUAACUGGUCUGAGAGGAUGAUCAGUCACACUGGAACUGAGACACGGUCCAGACUCCUACGGGAGGCAGCAGUGAGGAAUAUUGCGCAAUGGGCGAAAGCCUGACGCAGCGACGCCGCGUGGAGGAAGACGGCCUUAGGGUUG
Molecule: ribosomal RNA, 406 nt
Filed under: uncultured bacterium
Lineage: Bacteria
Description: bacterial SSU rRNA
Rfam family: Bacterial small subunit ribosomal RNA
Source: RNAcentral